This 252-nucleotide ribosomal RNA is filed under the name uncultured bacterium. RNAcentral's name for it is "partial 16S ribosomal RNA". It matches the Rfam family "Bacterial small subunit ribosomal RNA", at positions 524 to 776 of the family's 1533-position model. The record is from RNAcentral.
UACGGAGGAUGCGAGCGUUAUCCGGAUUUAUUGGGUUUAAAGGGUGCGCAGGCGGGCUUUUAAGUCAGCGGUAAAAAUUCGGGGCUCAACCCCGUCCGGCCGUUGAAACUGGGGGUCUUGAGUGGGCGAGAAGAAGGCGGAAUGCGUGGUGUAGCGGUGAAAUGCAUAGAUAUCACGCAGAACCCCGAUUGCGAAGGCAGCCUUCCGGCGCCCUACUGACGCUGAGGCACGAAAGUGCGGGGAUCGAACAGG